Molecule: unclassified non-coding RNA, 376 nt
Filed under: soil metagenome
Description: partial contains 5.8S ribosomal RNA, internal transcribed spacer 2, and large subunit ribosomal RNA
Rfam family: 5.8S ribosomal RNA (bases 1-120)
Source: RNAcentral
GAUGAAGAACGUAGCGAAAUGCGAUAAGUAAUGUGAAUUGCAGAAUUCAGUGAAUCAUCGAAUCUUUGAACGCAUCUUGCGCUCCUUGGUAUUCUGAGGAGCAUGCCUGUUUGAGUGUCAUUAAAUUCUCAACUACACUGACUUUGAAUUGGUGUGGCUUGGAUUUGGGGGGAAAAUUGUUGUGGGCUUUUUGUAUAGUCUGCUCCCCUGAAAUUGAUUAGCGGUACCUUUGUGGAACUGUCUACAGGUGUGAUAAUUAUCUACAUCUUAGACAUCUGCUGGAAUGCUGCUUUCUAAACCUUACUUGUAUUUACAAUCUUGACCUCAAAUCAGGUAGGACUACCCGCUGAACUUAAGCAUCUCAAUAAGCGGAGGA